This 157-nucleotide small nuclear RNA is filed under the name Salvator merianae (Argentine black and white tegu). Its description in RNAcentral is "U1 spliceosomal RNA (ENSSMRG00000009178.1)". It matches the Rfam family "U1 spliceosomal RNA". From Rfam's summary of the family: U1 is a small nuclear RNA (snRNA) component of the spliceosome (involved in pre-mRNA splicing). Its 5' end forms complementary base pairs with the 5' splice junction, thus defining the 5' donor site of an intron. There are significant differences in sequence and secondary structure between metazoan and yeast U1 snRNAs, the latter being much longer (568 nucleotides as compared to 164 nucleotides in human). Lineage: Eukaryota; Metazoa; Chordata; Lepidosauria; Squamata; Teiidae. The record is from Rfam by way of RNAcentral.
AUACUUACCUGGCAAGGGAGACACCGUGAUCAUGAAGGCAGUUUUCCCAAGGUGAGGCUUAUCCAUUGAACUCUAGGUAUGCUGACCCCCCAAAAUUUCCUCAAAUGUGGGAAACUCAACUGCAUAAUUUGUGUUAGUGGGGGGCUGUGUUCACCUA